UCGAGAGUUUGAUCCUGGCUCAGAUUGAACGCUGGCGGAAUGCUUUACACAUGCAAGUCGAACGGUAGAGGGGGCAACCCCUUGAGAGUGGCGAACGGGUGAGUAAUAUAUCGGAACGUGCCCAGUCGUGGGGGAUAACGUAGCGAAAGUUACGCUAAUACCGCAUACGAUCUAAGGAUGAAAGCGGGGGAUCGCAAGACCUCGCGCGACUGGAGCGGCCGAUAUCAGAUUAGGUAGUUGGUAGGGUAAACGGCCUACCAAGCCAGCGAUCUGUAGCUGGUCUGAGAGGACGACCAGCCACACUGGAACUGA
This 312-nucleotide ribosomal RNA is filed under the name uncultured Limnohabitans sp. RNAcentral describes it as "bacterial SSU rRNA". It matches the Rfam family "Bacterial small subunit ribosomal RNA", at positions 1 to 322 of the family's 1533-position model. The record is from RNAcentral. Lineage: Bacteria; Pseudomonadati; Pseudomonadota; Betaproteobacteria; Burkholderiales; Comamonadaceae.